CUUGCCACUGCCAUGUAAGAAAUACCUUUUGCCUCCCACCAUGAUCCUGAGGCCUCUUCAGCCACGUGGGACUUUUCUCUUGCUGCCGCCGUGUAAGAAGGACCUUUUGCCUCCCACCAUGAUUCUAAGUCCUCCCCAGCCACGUGGAACUGCUUUCAUUUGGUCUCUUUUCGAAUCAGAAGACCCAGAAAACUUGGAUCCACUUCUGGCUCUCAUCCCUCUGGGCAGUGUGAUUUGGAUUGAGCAGAUGCUCCGGCUGCCACUCCAUCAUAUAUUGGAAACAGCAUUACUUUAUAGUAAAUCAUGACCACGGUGUAUGGCAAUGAAGUUGCAUCUGAAGCAGCCGGCACCCUAUGUGCUAGCUGGCUUUUAGACCAGGAGACUGUGAAUCUGUGGUCAGGAUCUCUUUAGGGCUGCUAAAUAUAUACUACCCACUAUCACUCGCUGGAGCUGCAGACCCUAGUUUUAGAGUUUCACUUCUUAAAGACCUUCAUCCUUAUUAAAAUGGUAAUAUCC
This 516-nucleotide long non-coding RNA is filed under the name Homo sapiens (human). Its description in RNAcentral is "lncAB153.1". The record is from RNAcentral. Lineage: Eukaryota; Metazoa; Chordata; Mammalia; Primates; Hominidae.